AUGCUGACAAAGACACUUGUCCCAAUUGGCGAUCCCAGGAGCUCGAAAUCAUUGAAGUUGGUUGGCUGUGUGGAGGGCACGGAUACCAUCCUUGCCAUCACAGAUCUUGGUUCAUUCGCAAUUGAUCCCAAGUCCCUGAAGUUGAGAAAGCUGUCGGAUAAGAUUUGCAAGAAUGAGUUCGGAUUGGACCGAGUAUUUGAGAACCUCUUUCUCUACACGAGCUUCAACAAUCCACCAGCGGUGGCUGGUGUUGUGGGCGAAGCAAGCUCAAGUGAAGUAGGAGGUGCUGAUGCGGAAGUUUGA
Molecule: ribosomal RNA, 303 nt
Filed under: Triticum aestivum (bread wheat)
Lineage: Eukaryota; Viridiplantae; Streptophyta; Magnoliopsida; Poales; Poaceae
Description: partial small subunit ribosomal RNA
Source: RNAcentral